Molecule: ribosomal RNA, 388 nt
Filed under: uncultured bacterium
Lineage: Bacteria
Description: bacterial SSU rRNA
Rfam family: Bacterial small subunit ribosomal RNA
Source: RNAcentral
GACGAACGCUGGCGGCGUGCUUAACACAUGCAAGUCGAGCGAUGAAGCACCUUCGGGUGUGAAUUAGCGGCGAACGGGUGAGGAACACGUGAGAAAUCUGCCUUCAACUCUGGGAUAACUCCGGGAAACCGGGGCUAAUACCGGAUAUGAGCCUUGAUCGCAUGAUCGGGGCUGGAAAGUUUUUCGGUUGAAGAUGAUCUCGCGGCCUAUCAGCUUGUUGGUGAGGUAAUGGCUCACCAAGGCGACGACGGGUAGCCGGCCUGAGAGGGCGACCGGCCACACUGGGACUGAGACACGGCCCAGACUCCUACGGGAGGCAGCAGUGGGGAAUAUUGGGCAAUGGAGGAAACUCUGACCCAGCGACGCCGCGUGAGGGAUGAAGGCCUUC